AUGGCUGGGGCGGAAUCGGCCGGCCUGCGGCGCGGGGCGGGGGCGCGGAGGAAGGCGAAGGAGGCAGCGGUGGGCGCCGCCGCGAGGGCGCUCUUCUACCCGACGCUGCUCUACAACGUGGUGAGGAGCAAGGUCCAGGCCGAGUUCCGGUGGUGGGACGAGGUCGAUCAGUUCAUUUUGCUUGGAGCUGUUCCAUUCCGUAGGGAUGUUACACGCUUGCAGAAGCUUGGAGUACAUGGCGUUGUAACCCUGAAUGAACCAUUUGAGACUUUAGUACCAUCAUCAGUAUAUAAGUCGCGUGGGAUUGAUCACCUUGUUAUUCCUACAAGAGAUUACAUGUUUGCUCCAUCACUUGUGGAUAUUAGUCAAGCUGUUGAUUUCAUUCAUAGAAACGCAUCUCGUGGGAGGAUGACAUAUAUUCACUGCAAAGCUGGAAGGGGACGGAGUACAACGAUUGUCUUGUGCUAUCUGGUGAAGUACAAGAAUAUGACACCUACCACAGCAUUUGAGCAUGUGAGAUCUAAAAGGGCUAGAGUGCUGCUGACCCGUUCCCAGAGGAAGGUGGUUCAAGAAUUCAGUACGAAGGUGGCUGGAACAGCAGCAGCAACAUCAUCAUCUCCAUCAGGGGAUGCGGUACCGCAAACUGAAGAUGGCUCUGGUUUGCCAGGCGUUAUCAGGGAGGAUGCCAGCUCGCCUUCUCACAAGGCCACCCCAUCAGGGCCAAUGAUGAAGAAGAUGCUGGCAUGCCUGCUUCCUUCCCCGAUGCGAUCUGGCGGCGACUCGCCGUCGCAUGCCGACCUGCGGGCACCCUAG
This 813-nucleotide ribosomal RNA is filed under the name Triticum aestivum (bread wheat). RNAcentral describes it as "partial small subunit ribosomal RNA". Lineage: Eukaryota; Viridiplantae; Streptophyta; Magnoliopsida; Poales; Poaceae. The record is from RNAcentral.